This 94-nucleotide ribosomal RNA is filed under the name uncultured bacterium. RNAcentral describes it as "partial 16S ribosomal RNA". The record is from RNAcentral.
CCUGUCACACCAUGGGAGUUGGAUUCACCCGAAGGUGGUGCGCUAACCUGCUUGCAGGAGGCAGCCAACCACGGUGGGUUCAGCGACUGGGGUG